AACUAACAAGGAUUCCCCUAGUAACUGCGAGUGAAGCGGGAAAAGCUCAAAUUUAAAAUCUGGCAGUCUUUGGCUGUCCGAGUUGUAAUCUAGAGAAGCAUUAUCCGCGCUGGACCGUGUACAAGUCUCCUGGAAUGGAGCGUCAUAGAGGGUGAGAAUCCCGUCUUUGACACGGACUGCCAGGGCUUUUGUGAUGUGCUCUCAAAGAGUCGAGUUGUUUGGGAAUGCAGCUCAAAAUGGGUGGUAAAUUCCAUCUAAAGCUAAAUAUUGGCGAGAGACCGAUAGCGAACAAGUACCGUGAGGGAAAGAUGAAAAGAACUUUGGAAAGAGAGUUAAACAGUACGUGAAAUUGCUGAAAGGGAAACGCUUGAAGUCAGUCGCGUUGGCCAGGGAUCAACCUUGCUUCAUUGCUUGGCUUACUUCCUGGUUAAUGGGUCAGCAUCAAUUUUGAUCGGUGGAAAAAGUUCAGGGGAAUGUGGCAUCUUCGGAUGUGUUAUAGCCUUUGUUCGCAUACAUCGGUUGGGAUUGAGGAACUCAGCACGCCGCAAGGCCGGGUUUUUAACCACGUACGUGCUUAGGAUGCUGGCAUAAUGGCUUUAAUCGACCCGUCUUGAAACACGGACCAAGGAGUCUAACAUGCCUGCGAGUGUUUGGGUGGAAAACUCGAGCGCGUAAUGAAAGUGAAAGUUGAGAUCCCUGUCGUGGGGAGCAUCGACGCCCGGAUCAGACCUUUUGUGACGAUUCCGCGGUAGAGCAUGUAUGUUGGGACCCGAAAGAUGGUGAACUAUGCCUGAAUAGGGUGAAGCCAGAGGAAACUCUGGUGGAGGCUCGUAGCGAUUCUGACGUGCAAAUCGAUCGUCAAAUUUGGGUAUAGGGGCGAAAGACUAAUCGAACCAUCUAGUAGCUGGUC
Molecule: ribosomal RNA, 910 nt
Filed under: Laccaria sp.
Lineage: Eukaryota; Fungi; Basidiomycota; Agaricomycetes; Agaricales; Hydnangiaceae
Description: eukaryotic LSU rRNA
Rfam family: Eukaryotic large subunit ribosomal RNA
Source: RNAcentral